UUGAGUCUUGUAGAGGGGGGUAGAAUUCCAGGUGUAGCGGUGAAAUGCGUAGAGAUCUGGAGGAAUACCGGUGGCGAAGGCGGCCCCCUGGACAAAGACUGACGCUCAGGUGCGAAAGCGUGGGGAGCAAACAGGAUUAGAUACCCUGGUAGUCCACGCCGUAAACGAUGUCUACUUGGAGGUUGUGCCCUUGAGGCGUGGCUUCCGGAGCUAACGCGUUAAGUAGACCGCCUGGGGAGUACGGCCGCAAGGUUAAAACUCAAAUGAAUUGACGGGGGCCCGCACAAGCGGUGGAGCAUGUGGUUUAAUUCGAUGCAACGCGAAGAACC
RNAcentral lists this ribosomal RNA (329 nucleotides) under Salmonella enterica. RNAcentral describes it as "bacterial SSU rRNA". It matches the Rfam family "Bacterial small subunit ribosomal RNA", at positions 642 to 970 of the family's 1533-position model. RNAcentral also lists the same sequence under 4 other names. Lineage: Bacteria; Pseudomonadati; Pseudomonadota; Gammaproteobacteria; Enterobacterales; Enterobacteriaceae. The record is from RNAcentral.